Molecule: ribosomal RNA, 22 nt
Filed under: Hirsutella citriformis
Lineage: Eukaryota; Fungi; Ascomycota; Sordariomycetes; Hypocreales; Ophiocordycipitaceae
Description: partial 18S ribosomal RNA
Source: RNAcentral
GAGAACCUGCGGAGGGAUCAUU